Molecule: ribosomal RNA, 702 nt
Filed under: uncultured bacterium
Lineage: Bacteria
Description: bacterial SSU rRNA
Rfam family: Bacterial small subunit ribosomal RNA
Source: RNAcentral
GAGCAAAGGUGAGAUUCCACCUGGGGAGCGGCCUGCUUCGUAUUAGCUAGUUGGUGAGGUAACGGCUCACCAAGGCGACGAUGCGUAGGGGGUGUGAGAGCAUGACCCCCACCACUGGGACUGAGAUACUGCCCAGACACCUACGGGUGGCUGCAGUCGAGAAUCUUCGGCAAUGGGCGCAAGCCUGACCGAGCGACGCCGCGUGUGGGAUGAAGGCCCUUGGGUUGUAAACCACUGUCAGAGGGGAUGAAAUGCACGAGAGUUAUCUCUUGUGUUUGACAUAGCCUCAGAGGAAGCACGGGCUAAGUUCGUGCCAGCAGCCGCGGUAAUACGAACUGUGCGAACGUUAUUCGGAAUCACUGGGCUUACAGGGUGCGUAGGCGGCUUGUCAAGUAGGGUGUGAAAGCCCCCGGCUCAACCGGGGAAUGGCGCCCUAAACUGGCGAGCUAGAGUGAGAUAGGGGUGUGUGGAACUUCCGGUGGAGCGGUGAAAUGUGUUGAUAUCGGAAGGAACGCCGGUGGCGAAAGCGACACACUGGAUCUUGUCUGACGCUGAGGCACGAAAGCCAGGGGAGCGAACGGGAUUAGAUACCCCGGUAGUCCUGGCUGUAAACGAUGAGCACUAGCUAGGAGGAGCGUAUGCCCUUCCUAACGGAGCGAAAGUGUUAAGUGCUCCGCCUGGGGGAGUAUGGUCGCAAGGCUG